RNAcentral lists this ribosomal RNA (729 nucleotides) under Triticum aestivum (bread wheat). RNAcentral's name for it is "partial small subunit ribosomal RNA". The record is from RNAcentral. Lineage: Eukaryota; Viridiplantae; Streptophyta; Magnoliopsida; Poales; Poaceae.
AUGACAAGCAAUCCAAGGAGCUCCGCCUCCCUCUUCUUCUCCUCCACCCCCACUGGCGAUGGAGGCGAGGUGAAAAUUCCCCACCAACCGGAGCGCUUGCCUGCCGAUGGAGGGCUCAGCCAGGCUCCGUCUGCCGUCUCCCGCCUCGACGGCGCCGCCCCGCCACGGCGGAGGGUCCCUGUGGCGGCUGCUCCCUUUGGCCCAGCCCGCCUCCCGAGCGGUCUCCGCCAAGGUGCUUCCCUCCUCCCCUAUCUUGUGGGUUGCGGGGGAUGUUGCAUUGGAAUGGAAGGUGAAGAAGGUACGCGGCGUGGACGGCGACCGAGGAGCUGCGGCAGGCCACGCUGGUGGAGGACCUGUAGGGGCGGCGGGUGCGGGAGGCCGAGGCGGGCAGGCGUCGCCAAUGGCGGGACGAGCAACUCGAGCAGGAGGGCGACGCCAAGCUCGGCUGGGGCCUCCCGGGCGAUGCCUACGACCGCUGCGGUGAGGUCUACGCCGAGUACGCCGCCUUCUACCUCGUAUUGCUUCCAAUACCGCGGUAUUGGAGUAUUGCUUCCAAAUUCUAGAGUAGCAAAUAAUUUGAUCGAAAAGGGACGGCAUGCUGAGGUGUACAAAGGACAACUUGCUGAUGGACAGUUUGUGGCAGUGAAGAGAUGCAUCAUUAAGCAGCAGGAGUACUCAUUUGUACUGGAUAAAGUGAUGAAAAAGAAGAAAAGAUUACUAGAAGAUUAG